Molecule: ribosomal RNA, 253 nt
Filed under: uncultured bacterium
Lineage: Bacteria
Description: partial 16S ribosomal RNA
Rfam family: Bacterial small subunit ribosomal RNA
Source: RNAcentral
UACGGGGGGGGCAAGCGUUGUUCGGAAUUACUGGGCGUAAAGGGCUCGUAGGUGGCCAACUAAGUCAGACGUGAAAUCCCCAGGCUUAACCUGGGAACUGCGUCUGAUACUGGCGAGCUUGAGUGCAGGAGAGGAACGCGGAAUUCCAGGUGUAGCGGUGAAAUGCGUAGAUAUCUGGAGGAACACCGGUGGCGAAGGCGGCGUUCUGGACUGCAACUGACACUGAGAGACGAAAGCCAGGGGAGCAAACGGG